GAUGAACGCUAGCGGCAGGCCUAAUACAUGCAAGUCGAACGAGAUUAAGAGGCUUGCUUCUUAUGAAAAUGGCGCACGGGUGCGUAACGCGUAUGCAACCUACCUUAAUCAGGGGGAUAGCCCGAAGAAAUUCGGAUUAAGACCGCAUAAAAACACAGGAUAGCAUUAUCCAAUGUUCAAAUAUUUAUAGGAUUAAGAUGGGCAUGCGUGUCAUUAGCUAGUUGGCGGGGUAACGGCCCACCAAGGCGACGAUGACUAGGGGAUCUGAGAGGAUGACCCCCCACACUGGUACUGAGACACGGACCAGACUCCUACGGGAGGCAGCAGUAAGGAAUAUUGGUCAAUGGAGGGAACUCUGAACCAGCCAUGCCGCGUGCAGGAAGACAGCCCUCUGGGUCGUAAACUGCUUUUAUUCGGGAAUAAACCUUUCUACGUGUAGGAAGCUGAAUGUACCGAAGGAAUAAGGAUCGGCUAACUCCGUG
Molecule: ribosomal RNA, 482 nt
Filed under: uncultured bacterium
Lineage: Bacteria
Description: partial 16S ribosomal RNA
Rfam family: Bacterial small subunit ribosomal RNA
Source: RNAcentral